UAGGGAAUCUUCCGCAAUGGGCGAAAGCCUGACGGAGCAACGCCGCGUGAGUGAUGAAGGUCUUCGGAUCGUAAAACUCUGUUAUUAGGGAAGAACAAAUGUGUAAGUAACUAUGCACGUCUUGACGGUACCUAAUCAGAAAGCCACGGCUAACUACGUGCCAGCAGCCGCGGUAAUACGUAGGUGGCAAGCGUUAUCCGGAAUUAUUGGGCGUAAAGCGCGCGUAGGCGGACUAUUAAGUCAGGGGUGAAAUCCCGGGGCUCAACCCCGGAACUGCCUUUGAUACUGGUAGUCUUGAGUUCGAGAGAGGUGAGUGGAAUUCCGAGUGUAGAGGUGAAAUUCGUAGAUAUUCGGAGGAACACCAGUGGCGAAGGCGGCUCACUGGCUCGAUACUGACGCUGAGGUGCGAAAGCGUGGGGAGCAAACAGG
Molecule: ribosomal RNA, 429 nt
Filed under: Actinomycetes bacterium
Lineage: Bacteria; Bacillati; Actinomycetota; Actinomycetes
Description: Actinobacteria bacterium partial 16S ribosomal RNA
Rfam family: Bacterial small subunit ribosomal RNA
Source: RNAcentral